Molecule: unclassified non-coding RNA, 117 nt
Organism: Pongo abelii (Sumatran orangutan)
Lineage: Eukaryota; Metazoa; Chordata; Mammalia; Primates; Hominidae
Rfam family: Metazoan signal recognition particle RNA
About the family: The signal recognition particle (SRP) is a universally conserved ribonucleoprotein. It is involved in the co-translational targeting of proteins to membranes. The eukaryotic SRP consists of a 300-nucleotide 7S RNA and six proteins: SRPs 72, 68, 54, 19, 14, and 9.
Source: Ensembl
GCUGGGCAUGAUGGCUCAUGCCUGUAAUCCCAGCACUUUGGGAGGCAGAGGCGGGUGGAUCACCUGAGGUCAGGAGUUCAAGACCAACCUGGCCAACAUGGUGAAACCCCGUCUCUU